This is a long non-coding RNA of Rhododendron vialii, 1615 nucleotides long. RefSeq lists it as uncharacterized. The transcript has 2 exons. NCBI's taxonomy places the organism in Eukaryota, Viridiplantae, Streptophyta, Magnoliopsida, Ericales, Ericaceae. The record is from RefSeq and is a predicted model, not a curated record.
UUGUUAUCCCUUUACUGUUUGGGUUUUCGGUUCUACCUUUUUCUAUUGUGCUUUCCUAACUGGCAUUGGCUCUAUGGUUGCAUGUGUAUUACUCUUUCAUAAACAAUAGUUACUUUUUUUCAAGCAAUAUAAACUUUGCGAAUCUAUACUUCAUAUUAAGUAGUAAAAGGGUGUACUUGUGAGGAAAGUUGUAAGAGCACCAAGUGGCUUUGCCAGAUUGGAUAUAAGAUUAAAUCCUUAAGUUGGUUUUCAAAACAGAUUUGCAUAAUCUAUAUUACUUGAUUAUUGGCCAACGGAGGAUUUUUUUGGGAUUGUUAAUUUCCCUAAAAUGUAAGUCUUAUCUCCUGCUAAUAAGUUCGUUUUCACACCUCUCCUAAAAUGUAAGUUUUAAUUUUGAAAUUCUUUUCGUAUAUACAUCUAUCAAUUAUUGCCAUAGUCAAACAGAGAUUUUUCCUCUUCUAAUUUAACGUUCAAAUUUUAUCGUGUUUCUACCAUCUCUUUAAUUAGAUUUAUCGCGUGCAUGUACAAAUCUUUUGUUGUUCUUAGAACUCUAACAACAUUUUGCGACAAUGCAAGCAAAAUUUAACAUGUGAAUGGAAAACUGAGAGGAUCGAAGAAUUGGAUUGUAGAGAACAUCAAAUUAUCAACACCUUGCCGAUGUGAUCCCUAAAUGCAAAACCAAGAAAGUGUGCCCAUUGAAACCACCGUCAUCACUAGCAACAAUGAUUCUAUAAGUGGCAAUGGGUGGGUUGUGUGGUUGCUAGCUGUUGCUUCAUAUCUGGGAUUGGUUGGUUGUGGUGUUGGUUUGUGGCUCUGUUUCUCUUUUCAACUCCUCAGUCCGGAGGGCUAAGAGAUUUGUGGGGCUCUCUAUUGAAGCUGUUAUUGAUGGAGCUAAUUUACGGAUAUGCUUGAAGCUGCACUUAAUUAGUGAUUGAAGGCUGAAGGUUGGCAAUUCCUUGCAUCUGAAAGUCUGUGUCUCCUUGUCUCAUUGCUUACCAACUCCAGUCAAAUUAAUCUGUUUGAGGGCUAAGUGAUCAUAAUUAAUCUUUUGGAGGCAAAUUAAUCAUUGUAUCAUCUCUUUUCAACUCCUGUCAAAUUAAACUUUUGGAGGGCUAAGGGAGCAAAAUUAGCAGUACUGGUCUGAAGAGCUUACCCAAUGGAAGUGGAGAUCCAUACGCUGAAGUACUCAUUAUUGGUGGGGAUACUCAUAGGUGAUUCAUCAUGCUUUGAAACUGAACUUAGUAAAGGCUGAUGCUUGUGUUACGUACCUUACGUACGUACCUUGUCUCAUCUACUCCCAAUCCCAAUCAAUAUCAGCAGUGGAAUGAAGAUAUCAGUGGCUUACUAAAAGGAUAUGGUGAUCUAUAAAGCUGCCAUACCUCUCCAUGCUUUUUUUGGAUAUCAUUGGAUUCUAUUUACUGUGUUGUGGCUGAUUUUCAGAACAAGUUUCCUAUUUUUGUAAUGUUUCGUAAUUUGUUUUUUUUUUUUUUGGUGUAUGGUGCACAUAUUGUUUGUUGGCAUGCAGUGACCGAGUCCUCAAGUCGCACAUAGACUAAUAAGGCUGGAUUUCAUAUACUCCGCUAUACAAUUAAUAAUCCUUGUUCGAUGGUAGACA